This 253-nucleotide ribosomal RNA is filed under the name uncultured bacterium. RNAcentral describes it as "partial 16S ribosomal RNA". It matches the Rfam family "Bacterial small subunit ribosomal RNA", at positions 524 to 776 of the family's 1533-position model. The record is from RNAcentral.
GACAGAGGCCUCAAGCGUUAGGCGGAAUCACUGGGCUUAAAGCGUGUGUAGGCGGAUCGUUAAGUGCCUUGUGAAAUCCCACGGCUUAACUGUGGAACGGCUGGGCAUACUGGCGGUCUUGAGCCACUUAGGGGCUACCGGAACAGAUGGUGGAGCGGUGAAAUGCGUAGAUAUCAUCUGGAACGCCAAUGGUGAAAACAGGUAGCUGGGAGUGUGCUGACGCUGAGACACGAAAGCCAGGGGAGCGAACGGG